Molecule: small RNA, 585 nt
Filed under: Pongo abelii (Sumatran orangutan)
Lineage: Eukaryota; Metazoa; Chordata; Mammalia; Primates; Hominidae
Description: processed transcript
Source: RNAcentral
UGGCAAACCUGGUCGAAGCCGACUAUUCCUACUGGACCCUGGGCUAUGUCAUCUCUCUGGAAGGAGCACAGAAGCUGGUUGGAGCCAAUCCUUUUGGGAAGAUGCUGCCAGUGGAUGAGUUUCUGCCAAUCAUGUACAACAAGCAUCCUGUCCUCCUCUCAAGUCCUCACUGCCAUCUCUUCCAAACACUUUCUGAUGACUGCCAACGGUGAACAAACCAGUGCACCGUAGAAGGCAUUACCCCUCUGUGGCAGAGGUGGUCGUGUUCAUCAACUCCUCCAGGUUUCUCCUGCAUUUCCCACCUCCCCUGUACUCACAUCGGGGCCGGGGACUGGUCGAUGGGCUGUGAACAGAAGUGACAGGUGUCGCUUUGGUCUAAGGCAGCUGGGAACAGUUUGUGAGUUCUCUUUACUCUCUGUAUCAUCACUGUGACUGGAAGGGAAACACUGAGAUGGUGAAGUUGCAAGAUAGAAGCUGCCUGGAUCUGUGAGCUGCUGUUAAGAGAAAAGCUACUAAGGAGUUUCCUGACUUGCAUUACACUGUCCCAUGAAAGAAAAAAUAAACCUCGGUCUUAAGCUGUUGAAA